RNAcentral lists this non-coding RNA (120 nucleotides) under Anaerocolumna jejuensis. Its description in RNAcentral is "THF-I sequence". It matches the Rfam family "THF (Tetrahydrofolate) riboswitch aptamer". Rfam says of the family: THF riboswitch presents a pseudoknot that joins P1-P2 and the loop of P3 and two THF binding. The record is from RNAcentral. RNAcentral also lists the same sequence under 1 other name. Lineage: Bacteria; Bacillati; Bacillota; Clostridia; Lachnospirales; Lachnospiraceae.
GGCAGAGUAGAUAAUUGUGGGUUAUGGGCCCGGGAAACGGAGAGUUGGUCUCGGGAGGGAAGCUUUCAUAUAGGUGUAUGCCGUAUGAAAGCUGCCGUACAAUUAUCGCAUCUCGCUGCU